AAUAAACGCUGGCGGCGUGCCUAACACAUGCAAGUCGAGCGAGAAAGCUCCUUCGGGGGCAAGUACAGCGGCGGACGGGUGAGUAACGCGUGAGCAACCUGCCCUGUACAGGGGGAUAGCCACUGGAAACGGUGAUUAAUACCCCAUAAACCCAAAAGGCCGCAUGGUCUAAUGGGCAAAGUUCCAACGGUACAGGAUGGGCUCGCGUCUGAUUAGCUAGUUGGUGAGGUAACGGCUCACCAAGGCGACGAUCAGUAGCCGACCUGAGAGGGUGAACGGCCACACUGGAACUGAGACACGGUCCAGACUCCUACGGGUGGCUG
This 323-nucleotide ribosomal RNA is filed under the name uncultured Bacillota bacterium. RNAcentral describes it as "bacterial SSU rRNA". It matches the Rfam family "Bacterial small subunit ribosomal RNA", at positions 29 to 351 of the family's 1533-position model. Lineage: Bacteria; Bacillati; Bacillota. The record is from RNAcentral.